CGGGCAGUGGCGCAACGCGCCCAGGGUAGCGGGGGAGUUAGUGCCUCGGUGCGUUGCCUCUGGCUUCCGUUUCCACGGUUACGGCGGCGCGAGGCUGUGUCCCAGGAUGCUGUCCCGCGCACAAGUGUUCUGUGGCGCCACGAACUGCCCUGGACUCCCACACCCCUCUCCCUGCGUCUCCCAUCUGCGGCUUCACUCUUCUCUGCCCGCAAGUCACUGACAUGCAGCUCCUCGUCCGUGCCUGGGAGCUGCACACUCUUGACGUGACUGGUCUGGAGGCCUUUGCUCACAUCAAGGCAAAGACCCAUGUAGCCUCCCUGGAGGGCCACACCACUGAGGAUAAAGUCGUGCUUCUGGCAGGUUCUCCCCUGCGGAUGAAGCCAUCCUG
Molecule: long non-coding RNA, 388 nt
Filed under: Vulpes vulpes (red fox)
Lineage: Eukaryota; Metazoa; Chordata; Mammalia; Carnivora; Canidae
Description: lncRNA (ENSVVUG00000027163.1)
Source: RNAcentral